GAACUAUACCUAGCCCACCCCCUCCCCAUUACUACUAUCAUAGAUUAAUUAAUUAAAACAUUCACCACGCGUUUUAAAGUAUAGGAGAUAGAAAUUUAAUCAUCAGUGGCGCUAUAGAGAAAGUACCGUAAGGGAAAGAUGAAAGACCUAAUUAAAGUAAAAAAAAGCAAAGCUUACCCCUUGUACCUUUUGCAUAAUGACUUAACUAGCAAUAACUUAGCAAAGAGACCUUAAGUUAAAACACCCGAAACCAGACGAGCUACUUACAAGCAGUAACUAGGACAAACUCAUCUAUGUGGCAAAAUAGUGAGAAGACUUAUAAGUAGAGGUGAAAAGCCUAACGAGCCUGGUGAUAGCUGGUUGUCCAAAAAAGGAAUUUCAGUUCAACAUUAAACAAUGCUAAGAACCCCAUCAAGUCUCAACGUAUGUUUAACUGUUAGUCUAAAAAGGUACAGCUUUUUAGAAACGGAUACAACCUUUACUAGAGAGUAAUAUAAGACUUAAACCAUAGUUGGCCUAAAAGCAGCCACCAAUUAAGAAAGCGUUCAAGCUCAACAACAAAAAUAAGUCUUAAUCCCAAGAAUAAAUAAACAACUCCUAGCCUAACUAUUGGACUAAUCUAUUUAAUUAUAGAAGCAAUACUGUUAAUAUGAGUAACAAGAAAGAUUUUCUCCUCGCACAAGCUUACAUCAGUAGCUGAUAAUAUGCUGAUAAUUAACAGUUAAUAAAUACAACCCAACACUAAAUUAUUUAUUAAACACACUGUUAACCCAACACAGGCGUGCACUAAGGAAAGAUUAAAAAAAGUAAAAGGAACUCGGCAAACACAAACCCCGCCUGUUUACCAAAAACAUCACCUCUAGCAUAGCCAGUAUUAGAGGCACUGCCUGCCCAGUGACUUAAUCGUUAAACGGCCGCGGUAUCUUGACCGUGCAAAGGUAGCAUAAUCACUUGUUCUCUAAAUAAGGACUUGUAUGAAUGGCCACACGAGGGUUUUACUGUCUCUUACUUUUAAUCAGUGAAAUUGACCUCCCCGUGAAGAGGCGGGGAUAAUAAAAUAAGACGAGAAGACCCUAUGGAGCUUUAAUUAAUCAACUCAAAAAAAUCGUAAAACAGUACCACUAAGGGAUAACAAAAUUUUAUAUGGGUUGACAAUUUCGGUUGGGGUGACCUCGGAGUAUAAAAAACCCUCCGAGUGAUUAAAACCUAGGCCUACUAGCCAAAGUGUAGCAUCACUUAUUGAUCCAAAUUUUUGAUCAACGGAACAAGUUACCCUAGGGAUAACAGCGCAAUCCUAUUCUAGAGUCCGUAUCGACAAUAGGGUUUACGACCUCGAUGUUGGAUCAGGACAUCCUGAUGGUGCAGCAGCUAUCAAGGGUUCGUUUGUUCAACGAUUAAAGUCCUACGUGAUCUGAGUUCAGACCGGAGUAAUCCAGGUCGGUUUCUAUCUAUUACGCAUUUCUCCCAGUACGAAAGGACAAGAGAAAUAAGGCCAACUUCAAAAAAGCGCCUUUAAAUAAUUAGUGAUUCAAUCUUAACCUAAUAAACUAGCGCAAAUAUACUAUGCCCAAAAUCAGGGCUU
Molecule: ribosomal RNA, 1582 nt
Filed under: Phocoena phocoena (harbor porpoise)
Lineage: Eukaryota; Metazoa; Chordata; Mammalia; Artiodactyla; Phocoenidae
Description: 16S ribosomal RNA
Rfam family: Bacterial large subunit ribosomal RNA
Source: RNAcentral